AAGUAAAUAAAUUCACUAGAAAAAUAAGUGGUAGAAUUAACUAGGUUGAGCUCAUUAGUACUCGAGUAAUUAAGUCUGAGGGGACUUUGUGCCUAACAACCUAAAGCCCUUCGUGGUUUGGGAUUGUUGACCCAACGCUCGCUACAUGGGUAUUAGUGCAUAAAUCCUUAGGGAUCUCAACCAUUGCACGGUUAAAUAAACCACUAGAAUAGAGUGAAUAAUUGGUGUGUGAAGUCUUGUGGUGUUCGUAACGCAUUUACACUGCGAAGCGCUCUGACCUUAGACCAAGCAAUUAAUCACCAAUAGAAAAAAAAAAUAUAUAGGUAAUAAAAUAGAAGGGUGUGGAUAUUCUUUGGGACCUUGCCUUUAGUUGGACUUGAGUGACGGGGUGUUAGUUUUAAACCUUUACGAUUCUUGAUUGGGAUUCUGUGGGAGUAGUAGUUUUUGUCUUGUCUCAAUAAAAGAGCAUGCUUGCACACACGGGCACUCCACACUUGUAAAUAGAAGAGUAAUUGACUUAGUAGCGAGAGAGAUGAAAUUCGAGAACAUUAGCACAAUCUGAGGUAUUAUAAUUGGCAAGGCAAUUACUUCAUAGUUUACUCAUUCAUCACGUAGUUGCAUUCAUGCAUUGCAUUGUAUUAUUGUUAGUGUCGUUGACGCUUGAGGACAAGCAUCAGUUUAAGUUUGGGGGUGUGAUAAGUGGUAUUUAUACACACUUAUAGGCCUUCAUUUCUACUUAAAUUGGUUGGUUGUACUUAAGUGUUUAGUGUCUUUUGAUGUGUUUUUAUUGUUUUUCUGUGCAGGUCACGAGUUGAGGUGAUGAAGUGAUUUUCUAUCAUUUUAGGUUGGUUUUGGUGCAUUAAUUGCAAGAAUAGAGAAUUGUGGAUUCAUCGCGACUUGGGAUUUUGUGGGUAUAUCUUCUACAAACCCUCACGAGAGCACACUCGUCCACUAGAGCUAUCUAGGGGUUUAAAGGGCUUGUUGCAUAUGCUAAAUGCAACCGUGAUCACCUACGGAAGUGGUACUAGAAGCGAGGAAGGACA
Molecule: long non-coding RNA, 1043 nt
Filed under: Daucus carota (carrot)
Lineage: Eukaryota; Viridiplantae; Streptophyta; Magnoliopsida; Apiales; Apiaceae
Description: long non-coding RNA (DCAR_LNC005389)
Source: RNAcentral